UACGUAGGUGGCAAGCGUUAUCCGGAAUUAUUGGGUUUAAAGGGUGCGCAGGUUGUUUGAUAAGUCAGUGGUGAAAGUCUGUCGCUUAACGGUAGGAUUGCCAUUGAUACUGUUAGACUUGAAUAUGGAUGAGGUAGGCGGAAUGUGUAGUGUAGCGGUGAAAUGCAUAGAUAUUACACAGAACACCGAUUGCGAAGGCAGCUUACUAAUCCAUCAUUGACGCUGAGGCACGAAAGCGUGGGGAUCAAACAGGA
This 254-nucleotide ribosomal RNA is filed under the name uncultured prokaryote. RNAcentral describes it as "partial 16S ribosomal RNA". It matches the Rfam family "Bacterial small subunit ribosomal RNA", at positions 524 to 777 of the family's 1533-position model. The record is from RNAcentral.